ACCUAUAUUUUACAGAUGCCAACAUCUGUGCUUGAUGAAAUCCUCAAAGAGGUGGUGCUCCAGGAAGGAGAUAAUGUCUACCUGACAUUGGCUCUGGUGUGUACCACAUUCAUUGACAUUGUGUCCACCAAUUAUUUGAGAAGACGGGCACAUUUUCAGCGGCUUGACAGUAAGUUAUUUAAUAGCAGUGGUAUACAAUACUUAAGUACUGUGGUGUUUUGAAUAUCUCUAUGGAAAUGUGCUCUUUUGACUCACAAUUUUGUUACACAGGUGUUGCUACAUGGAGUUUUCUGCAACGUACAAAAAAGCUUUCUGCACCAUGUACACCAUUGACACCUGCCUUGGAUGUGGACGACUAUAUAAAAACUGCACACCAGGAUAUGUUGGGACGGGAAAAAGGGGAGCGCUAGAAGCAAUCUAUUCUGAAACUGAAGAUCCGGGAUACUGCAAUCACUUCUGCAGCCAAUUGUAAUAGGUGUCCCUCUUGCCUGUCCUCCAGCCCAUGCACGUCGAGAGGAGCAGACACCCGUUUGUGCCCAGAGGACAUUACUCACAUGUUGGACUUUUGAGAAUACUUUGCAAAAUCUCAUGACACUGUUAUUGUUGUAAAUAUAUAUAUAGUUAUAUGUCCUUAAGAUGUUCUUGUUAAUGUUUGUGUUGUUGUUUCUGCAUACAAGGUUGACCUGUACUUAGUUCGUUUCGAUUGAAUAUGCAUGUUAAGUAUUACCUUAGUUUGUUUCACUAGUCACUUUUGUUGUACAUAGUAACUUUAAAUUGUUAUCUUUUUUCCACAUUUGUAUAUAGUCACUGUUAGUACCUGGAAGCAGUAGGAGUGAGCUGCCUUUUCUUUUGACUUGUUUUCUCAUGUUUUUUCAUAGUUUAGGAUGUUAGUUUUAGUGAUGGUCUUUUUUAUUAUUUACUUUGACAUAGGGUUUAGGUAGCUUGAACUUCCCUUUAAAAUCUAGUUUGUUUUGUUUAAUUAUUUUGGCCUUGGUUCACUCCGAAGAGAAGCUUCAUUUUCAGUUUGGUGUAUUGUUUGUGUGCUAAGCAGCAAUAAACUGCUUGUCAUUUUGA
Long non-coding RNA from Gadus morhua (Atlantic cod), 1074 nucleotides. RefSeq lists it as uncharacterized. Lineage: Eukaryota; Metazoa; Chordata; Actinopteri; Gadiformes; Gadidae. The record is from RefSeq and is a predicted model, not a curated record. The transcript has 3 exons.